Molecule: small RNA, 16 nt
Filed under: Arabidopsis thaliana (thale cress)
Lineage: Eukaryota; Viridiplantae; Streptophyta; Magnoliopsida; Brassicales; Brassicaceae
Description: ATSL234770
Source: RNAcentral
CACAACACAAACAUUU